Molecule: ribosomal RNA, 503 nt
Filed under: uncultured bacterium
Lineage: Bacteria
Description: partial 16S ribosomal RNA
Rfam family: Bacterial small subunit ribosomal RNA
Source: RNAcentral
GACGAACGCUGGCGGCGUGCUUAACACAUGCAAGUCGAACGGUGAAGCGCUUUCCUUUUUGGUUGGUGUGGAUGAGUGGCGAACGGGUGAGUAACACGUUAGUAGCCUGCCCCGUUCUACUGGAUAACCGCAGGAAAGUGUGGGUAAUACGGGAUAUGCUGCGCCUGGUGCAUGGUGGGUGUGGGAAAGAUUGUGCGUGUGGGGGUUGUCGGUGGGGGAUGGGGUCGCGGCGUCUUAGCUUGUUGGUGGGGUGAUGGCAUACCAAGGAGGUGACGGGUAGCCGGGAGGAGGGGGUGGCCGGUUACACUGGGACUGAGACCCGGCCCAGAAUGGGACGGGAGGGAGGAGUGUGGUAGAUUGCACGAUGGGCGCAAGCCUGAUGCAGCGACGCCGCGUGAGGGAGGGUGGCGUUCGGGAUGUGAACCUCUUUGGCAAGUGAAGCAGGCCGGCUCCUUGUGGGUGGGUUGACGGUAGCUGGAUAAGAAGCGCCGGCUAACUACGUG